This 325-nucleotide long non-coding RNA is filed under the name Anas platyrhynchos platyrhynchos (common mallard). RNAcentral's name for it is "lncRNA (ENSAPLG00000026146.1)". Lineage: Eukaryota; Metazoa; Chordata; Aves; Anseriformes; Anatidae. The record is from RNAcentral.
GGGACCUAUAAAACAGGACCCGUGCAGCUGGCCCACCAAUCCCUGAGCUUCUACAUGCUCUGACAGACAGAUUAUGUGGCAGGAAGAAGUCCAGGAUCAGGAAGGUGAUGUCCAGGGUAUGUAGGAAGAUGGAACUGGAACAACAAUGAUAACUGAGGGCUGAGAGGUAAAAUGAUUUAAACUGUAGAAAGGCAUUGAGGACUGCUAUUGCCAACACAAUGAUGUGUCUGAGACAGCUGAACAACAAGAACCAGCAGCAGAUAUAUAGGAACAGAUACUGAAUAUGAAAAUAUAUAAAACAGGAAGAUGAAGAAAGUGAUGCAAA